Podarcis lilfordi (Lilford's wall lizard) is the source of this 71-nucleotide non-coding RNA. Lineage: Eukaryota; Metazoa; Chordata; Lepidosauria; Squamata; Lacertidae. The record is from the annotation of a GenBank genome assembly.
GCUAUUUUGUACAGUGGCAGAGUAUCUGCCUGGCAUGCAGAAGGUCCCACGUUCAAUCCCUGGCAUAUCCA